Long non-coding RNA from Phasianus colchicus (ring-necked pheasant), 1944 nucleotides. The record is from Ensembl. NCBI's taxonomy places the organism in Eukaryota, Metazoa, Chordata, Aves, Galliformes, Phasianidae.
CCCCCCACGCACUGGGGACGUAGAUCUCCGCUCUCUGUUCAUCCGGCAGCUCGCUCCAGUUGCGUUUGGCCGUGGCCACGCAUGGCUUCUUCACCAAGAAGGCACGAGGCAUGGCGGAUCCCCGACGGAUCCCAGUAGAUCCCACAAGUAGAUCCCGGCUUUGUUCUCAAUCGCAGGGGUUUUUUUUGGCGGGGGGAGGUUUGGGGGGGGGGAAGGGGGGCAGCUUCAGCCUUCAGGUGAUCGAAUUGGGGAUGGAUUUUGGCAAGAAAUCUCAGAUUUCCAGUCUGCUUCGGUGGUGGAUCCUCGAUCUUUGGUCAGUUUCAGUGGUAGAUUCCCAAUCCUUGGUCAGUUUUGGCACCGGAUCCCAGAUUCCUGGUCAGUUUUGGCACCAGAUCCCAGAUUAGUUUUGGCAAUGGAUCCCAGAUUCCUGCUCAGUUUUGGCACCAGAUCCCAGAUUCCAGCUCAGUUUUGGCACCGGAUCCCAGAUUCCUGGUCAGUUUUGGCACAGAUUCUCGGUCAGUUUUGGCACUGGAUCCCAGAUUCUUGCUCAGUUUUGGCACCGGAUCCCAGAUUCCUGCUCAGUUUUGGCACCAGAUCCCAGAUCAGUUUUGGCACCGGAUCUCAGCUGGUCAGUUUUGGCACCGGAUCCCAGAUUCCAGCUCAGUUUUGGCAACAGAUCCCAGAUCAGUUUUAGCACUGGAUCCCAGAUUCCUGGUCAGUUCUGGCACAGAUUCCUGCUCAGUUUUGGCACCAGAUUCCUGCUUGGUUUUGGCACCGGAUCCCAGAUUCCGGCUCAGUUUGGGCACCAGAUUCCUGCUCAGUUUUGGCACCAGAUCCCAGAUUCCGGCUCAGUUUUGGCACCAGAUCCCAGAUUCCAGCUCUGUUUUGGCAACAGAUCCCAGAUCAGUUUUAGCACUGGAUCCCAGAUUCCUGGUCAGUUUUGGCACAGAUUCCUGCUCAGUUUUGGCACUGGAUCCCAGAUUCCUGCUCAGUUUUGGCACCAGAUUCCUGUUUGGUUUUGGCACCGGAUCCCAGAUUCCUGCUCAGUUUUGGCACCAGAUUCCUGCUCAGUUUUGGCACCAGAUCCCAGAUUCCGGCUCAGUUUUGGCAAUGGAUCCCAGAUCAGCUUUGGCACCGGAUCCCAGAUUCCUGCUCAGUUUUGGCACCGGAUUCCUGCUCAGCUUUGGUACCGGAUCCCAGGUCAGUUUUGGCACCGGAUCCCAGAUUCUUGCUCAGUUUUGGCACCAGAUUCCUGCUCAGUUUUAGCAAUGGAUCCCAGGUUCCUGGUCGGCUUGGGUACCAGAUUCCUGCUCAGUUUUGGCACCGGAUCCCAGAUCAGUUUUGGCACCAGAUCCCAGAUUCCUGCUCAGUUUGGGCACCAGAUCCCAGAUCAGUUUUGGCACCAGAUCCCAGAUCAGUUUUGGCACAGAUUCCUGCUCAGCUUUGGUACCAGAUCCCAGGUCAGCUUUGGCACCGGAUCCCAGAUUCCUGCUCAGUUUGGGCACCAGAUCCCAGAUCAGUUUUGGCACAGAUUCCUGCUCCGUUUUGGCACCGAAUCCCAGAUUCUUGCUCAGUUUUGGUUCCAGAUCACAAAUAUUUCAUCAAUUCCAGCAGCGGAUCCCAGAUCCUCGCUCAGUUUCAGCAGCAGAUCCCCGAUCCUCGAUCAGCUCCAGCUCCCAGAUCCUCUCCCUAUUUCAGCUCCAGCUCCUCGGCUCGCUUUGACAUCCCGGAUUUCCACGCUUUCAGCUCCAGAUCCCCAUCCCAAAAAAAAAAGAACCCGAAAUCCUCCAUCAGUUACAACACCGGAUCCCACAAACCUCAAUGGAUCCCGCUCUCAUCCGAGCCCGGAUCCCGACUGAAUCCUUCACCACCACCACCUGCAUCACCAACACCCACCAAUACCUCCAAACACCCGGAAUCACAGCCACGUCACCCAAAAGCUGG